CGGAGUGUAGCUCAGCUUGGUAGAGCACUGCGUUCGGGACGCAGGGGCCGAAGGUUCAAAUCCUUUCACUCCGACCA
Molecule: transfer RNA, 77 nt
Filed under: Gammaproteobacteria bacterium
Lineage: Bacteria; Pseudomonadati; Pseudomonadota; Gammaproteobacteria
Description: tRNA-Pro
Rfam family: tRNA
About the family: Transfer RNA (tRNA) molecules are approximately 80 nucleotides in length. Their secondary structure includes four short double-helical elements and three loops (D, anti-codon, and T loops).
Source: RNAcentral